UGAGUUAGUACGAGUUUGCUACCAUAUCACUAUGGGUGUACAUCUCGCCUAUUACGUCGUAGUCUUCGACGAACUCAAAAACUUGUUUUGGGUCUGCUUUCCUGCUUGAGAUGCUUUCAGCAGUUCUGCAUUCCGAACGUAGCUACUCAGCGAUGCCCUUGGCAGGACAACUGAGACACCAGAGGUUCGUCAUUCUCGGUCCUCUCGUACAAGAGAAUGCCACCCUCAAUUUUUACCACCCGAAAAAGAUAGGAUCCGUACUGUCUCACGACGUACUAAACCCAACUCACGUACCGCUUUCAUCGGCGAACAGCCGAACCCUUCGAACCUUCUUCAGCUCGAGGAUGCGAUGAGUCGACAUCGAGGUGCCAAACGACUCCGUCGAUAAGAGCUCUUGGGAGUCAUCAGCCUGUUAUCCCUAGCGUACCUUUGAUCCGUUGAUCGAGAGCCUUUCCACAAAGAACUCCCGGGUCACUAUGGCCGACUUUCGUCUCUGCUUGACUUGUAAGUCUUACAGUCAGGCAAGCUUUUACCAUUACGCUCUUCAGCUGAUUUCCGUCCAGCUUGAGCUUACCUUCGCACACUUCCGUUACUCUUUAGGCAAGGUUAGAAAAAUGAGAAAGAAAGGGUGGUAUUUCAUUGUUCAUCUCUUUAAAGGUCUAAAAAGAUGUCCCACCUAUUCUACACAUUCAAACUCUUUUUUCAGUGGUAAACUAUAGUAAAGGUGCAUAGGGUCUUACCGUCUACUUUCGGGAACUCCGCAUCUUCACGGAGAAUUCAAUUUCACUGAGAUCAUGUUGGAGACAGCGGGGAAGUCGUGACACCAUUCAUGCAGGUCGGAACUUACCCGACAAGGAAUUUCGCUACCUUAGGACCGUCAGAGUUACGGCCGCCGUUUACUGGGCCUUGCAUUUAGAGCUUGUUGAAACCCUAAGAAGCGAGUCUCAGAGUUGUCAACGCACCCCUCCUGUUAAGUUUCCAGCACCGGGCAGGUGUCAGACCCUAUACGUCGUGUUACCACUUAGCAGAGUCCUGUGUUUUUAGUAAACAGUCGCCACCCCCUCUUUUGUGACACAUAGAUUGCACUAUGUCCUCCUUUUUCCGAAGUUACGGAGGUAAUUUGCCGAGUUCCUUCAACAUGAUUCUCUCUAGGCCUUAGUUUUUUCAACAAGUCCACCAGUGUCGGUUUAAGUACGGUGCUUUUUUUCUAAAUUCUGAAAAUUUAGAAAACGAUUGAGUUGUUUCCUGGACCACUCUUCACCGAGAGUCACAAGAUAUCCGCUCACUUGUGCGGCAAACUACUGGCCGUCACUCAAUCUCACAUCAAUGAAUUUUGUACAUUGUACCCAUCAAGAAUGAGCUUUCGCUUUGCUCUUAGGGGCCGAUUCACUCGACAACGAAAAACGGUCUGUCGAAAACCUAGGACUUUUGGCCAUCAUGAUUUUCACAUGAUUUGUCGUUACUCAUGUCAGCAUUCUCACCUCUGAUAUCUCAACUCCAUUUGACAAUGAAGCGUCUUUGACUUACAGAACGUUCUGCUACCUUUUAAAUCAAAGUUGAUCUAAAAUCGCCGCUUCGGUGAAUAUCUUGAGCUCCGAUACAUUUUAGGUGCUCCUAGACAUAGACCAGUGAGCUAUUACGCUUUCUUAAAAGGAUGGCUGCUUCCAAGCCUACCUCCUGGUUGUCUUGGCCUAGGAACUUCCUUUACCACUCAGAAAUUGCUUUAGAACCUUAGCGUUCGAUCUGGGCUGUUUCCCUUUUGACUCGAGACCUUAGCGCCUCGAGUCUGUCUGUAUCCUGAAUAAAAAGGCAUUCGGAGUUUCCCUGGGAUCAGUAAGGCUUUGGGCCACCAUCACCCAAUGAGUGCUCUACCUCCUUUUUAUUUUGAAAUACGCUCUACCUCAAUAGAUUUCGCAGAAAACCAGCUAUUUCCAAGCUCGAUUGGCUUUUCACCCCAUAAUCACAAGUCAUCCCCAUCUAUUGCCACAGAUGUGGGUUCGGUCCUCCAAAACGUAUUAUCAUUUUUUCAACCUGCUCAUGAUUAGAUCGCUUGGUUUCGGGUCAAAUUCAUGAAACUUUUUGUCCAAUUAGUGUCAAAAAAUGAAAAAUUGAAAUUUUUCAUUUUUUGGCAGUCGAUUUAUGCUUUUCUUCAAGCUUGCUUUCACUCCGCCUCCGUUUAUGAACUUAAGCUGGCUUCAUAAAUUUACUCGCUGACCCAUUAUGCAAAAGGUACGCCGUCACUCUUAAAAAGAGCUUCGACUGCUUGUAAGCAUUCAGUUUCAGGAUCUUUUUCACUUCCUAUUUAGGAGUCUGUUUCACCUUUCCCUCACGGUACUUGUUCACUAUCGAUCAGAAGAAUAUAUUUAGGCUUAGAGGGUGGUCCCCCUUGAGAAGGUGCAAACAAAGUGAACCUUCACUUCAAACAAAGAUGGUCUUCGUUUUACUCAAUGAUUUUCAUUCUGUUUUCAAAAAAUGUUCGAAAAGUCUCCUUUUUGAAUGUCUACAGGGCUAUCACCUUCUUUGGCUUGUUAUUCCAAACAGCUUAAACCUCAAAAAGGAGAAAAAGAAUGAGGGCCUAAUCCGCUUUCGCUCACCACUACUCACGGAAUCUCGGUUGAUUUUUUUUCCUCUAGUUACUUAGAUGUUUCAGUUCACUAGGUAAUUUGUAAUCUGAGAGUUUCCUAAAGGGAAAUCCAUAGAUCUCAGGAUUGACGCACCUCUCUAUGGCAUUUCGUUGCGUUUAACGUCCCUUGUCUUCUUCUGUCUAGGCAUCCACUAAAUGCUCUU
Molecule: ribosomal RNA, 2787 nt
Filed under: Micractinium sp. LBA 32
Lineage: Eukaryota; Viridiplantae; Chlorophyta; Trebouxiophyceae; Chlorellales; Chlorellaceae
Description: 23S ribosomal RNA
Source: RNAcentral